This is a non-coding RNA of Brassica napus (rape), 125 nucleotides long. The record is from Rfam. Lineage: Eukaryota; Viridiplantae; Streptophyta; Magnoliopsida; Brassicales; Brassicaceae.
GGAAUAUAAGAAACCGUCUCUUAACUUUUAACUAAAAAAACUAAGAAACGGCUCUUAAAUAAGAUAUUUAAGAGUCGGUUCUUAGAUUUUUUAGUUAAGAGUUAAGAGAUGGUUCCUUAUAUUCC